Molecule: ribosomal RNA, 253 nt
Filed under: uncultured bacterium
Lineage: Bacteria
Description: partial 16S ribosomal RNA
Rfam family: Bacterial small subunit ribosomal RNA
Source: RNAcentral
UACGAAGGAUUCGAGCGUUAUCCGGAUUUAUUGGGUUUAAAGGGUGCGUAGGUGGAUUAAUAAGUCAGUGGUGAAAGUCCGGAGCUCAACUCCGGAACUGCCAUUGAUACUGUUAGUCUUGAGUACAGUUGAGGUGGGCGGAAUGUGUCAUGUAGCGGUGAAAUGCUUAGAUAUGACACAGAACACCGAUUGCGAAGGCAGCUCACUAAGCUGUAACUGACACUGAGGCACGAAAGUGUGGGUAGCAAACAGG